UACGUAGGUGGCAAGCGUUGUCCGGAUUUAUUGGGUUUAAAGGGUGCGUAGGCGGUUUUAUAAGUCAGUGGUGAAAUACAACAGCUUAACUGUUGAGGUGCCAUUGAUACUGUAAGGCUUGAGUACAGACGAGGUAGGCGGAAUUGACGGUGUAACGGUGAAAUGCUUAGAGAUCGUCAGGAACACCGAUAGCGAAGGCAGCUUACUAGACUGUAACUGACGCUGAGGCACGAAAGUGUGGGGAUCAAACAGG
Molecule: ribosomal RNA, 253 nt
Filed under: uncultured bacterium
Lineage: Bacteria
Description: partial 16S ribosomal RNA
Rfam family: Bacterial small subunit ribosomal RNA
Source: RNAcentral